This 363-nucleotide ribosomal RNA is filed under the name Manduca sexta (tobacco hornworm). Its description in RNAcentral is "partial 18S ribosomal RNA". Lineage: Eukaryota; Metazoa; Arthropoda; Insecta; Lepidoptera; Sphingidae. The record is from RNAcentral.
UCGUUUAUGGGGGAUAAUUGCAAACCCCAAUCCCCAGCACGAAGGAGUUUCAGCGGGUUGCCCGGGCCUCUAGGCCAGGGAGAACAUGCUGAUUCCUUCAGUGUAGCGCGCGUGCGGCCCAGGACAUCUAAGGGCAUCACAGACCUGUUAUUGCUCAAUCUCGUGCGGCUCGAAGCCGCCGGUCCCUCUAAGAAGAAUUUUAAUACGUCGCCAGUGAGUUGCGCGACAUGAAGCCACGCACGCCUAAAUGGCGACGCCUAUUUAGCAGGCUAGAGUCUCGUUCGUUACCGGAAUUAACCAGACAAAUCGCUUCCCCACUUCCUAGUCCCUCCCACAUUUUUUAACGGUUCUCACCGCGGCCGC